This 4772-nucleotide long non-coding RNA is filed under the name Homo sapiens (human). RNAcentral describes it as "non-protein coding lnc-CSPG4-1:11". Lineage: Eukaryota; Metazoa; Chordata; Mammalia; Primates; Hominidae. The record is from RNAcentral.
GUUCCUGGCUCCCUUUCGCCCGCAGGUCGCCCAAGUCCAGCCCCACGACGCAGUGCCGACUCCCCGCCGUGCCCCCAGCCCGGCCCGGGUUGCGGAGCCCUGCUCCUGGGCCUCUGCCUGCUGCGUCCACCCUGGGGGAAGCGCCCGUCGUACCCUCCACACCGGGGGCUUCCCCUGACCCCUUAGGCCCUCCCCCUGCAGGUGCCCUCGCGCCCCUCCCGGGGUCCCCAGGGAAACGUGCUUCCAAUCUUCCAGGAAAAAUUGAAGGCUCCGGAUGAGAAAAAGCAAACAAAGGACAGUGGGACCAUGGGCGUCCCCACCCCCACCACCCGCAGGCCCCACACUCAAACCAGCGCCCGUGCCCACGCCCAUGCAGCCGUCCUCCGCCAGGCCCCAAGAACGGCUGUUACUUUGGGGGUAAUUGAAAAUGUCGAUCAUUAUUCUAGAGCAUAAGUAGGUCACAGGGACACAGGGAGCGAGAGAGAGAGAGAGAGAGAGAGAGGAAACCUGGUCAUGGGAGAGGAUCUGGGGGAGAGAAAGGCCAGCUGGGAGGAUGUGGGCGUGGAGAGGAAGAGGGAGCAGAAGGAACGGGAGGGCGGGCAACUCUCCACCAGUGAGCAGGGCCACGGACUCAGGGGGAUGUGUCCUCCCACCAGCCCCCCACCACACCCCGAAAGGAGCCGGGUGGCAGGAGCUCCUGUUUAGUCCUCCCGUACCUGAGCAGCCCCGAGAGUGGGUGUCUGUGAGUGCUGGGAGCAGGAGUGGGGACCUGGCUUGUCUUCAUGGGGGUGCCCUCUCACGACCACGUGCACAGCGCCCAGAGGCCAGGUCCCAGGCUGGCGGGCUGAGAGCAGCCAGCGGUCCCCUCUCCUGGGGGAAUGCAGGGACUCUCCUGACCUCCCUCCCAUCACCCAUCCCACCUCUCUCUGCAUGUCGGGACAUCUCAUGGUUUGUGGAUUUACUACUCCAGGGCAGUGAGGGGCGCCAGUGAGCCUGGGUGGGCACGUAUCUGUGCAUGAGAUGAGAUGCCUGGGAGAGAGGGAUGGGGCAGGGUGUUUGAAGGCAGUGGUGGUACCAGGUGUGUGUGUGUAGAGUAAGGUGUGGGUCUGUGCAUUUGUGUGUGUGUCUUGCCCCACGUGUGUGCGGUAAGGGACGUGUGUGUGCACAGCCCCUACCUGUGUGCCUCCAGAUGGUGUGUCCAUGUGUCCCUGCAGGCAGGGCCCCUCUUCUGCUCCUGGCCCAGGGCCACCAUCCCCCCAGGUCCUGGGAACCUGAGUGGUGAUUGGCCUUGGGGUUCCCUCCAGCAACAGUGGAACAACAGACCAGCCCCCACCCCAGCCAGUGUCCAAGAGGCUCGUGGGACUGUGAUGUCACCACCAAGCCCUGGCUGAGGUAACCCAACAUGGAGCCAGGCCUGUCUUGCCCCCUAGAGAGAAGAGAGGAACCUCAGGUGGGUCUCCUGCCAGGCACCGAGCCUCAUCCACCCUCCAACAUCUGCUCGUGGUGGGAGAGGGUGAAUUCCCACCCUCUCACGGACACAGCCUCAGACCUCCUGGAGGCCAGGGCUCCAGGUGAAGACCAAGUCUUCGUACCCCCGGACCCAGCCAGAGCCUGGCACAGGGCAGGAGCUUAGCAAAUGUUUGUUGAAUGAAUGAAUGCACGGAUGGGGGCUUUGUGUGUGAUCAAGUGCCAGGCUCCGGAGUCUAGUGACCUGAAGAUACAGAUUCAAGUCCUACAAGGAUCAAACCAGGGCUUCCUGCAAGGUCAAGCGAGAACCCCCUGAGUUGUUCAGAAGGGGCCACGCAGCAGUCGGCCAGACCUGGGAGGCCGUGCCUGACCUUCUGCAAGUCACCUCUCUGGGGGCACUACCACAGGAAAGGCAAUGUCAAGUGAUGGGACUGCUUCAUCCAAAGGUCAAUCCCAAGCUAAAUGACCCUGUCAUUUUGCAGGCCGAGGCACAAGGGAGGCCCCAUUCAUCUUCCCUGGAGUCGGCAUCCCUUUGAUUGCGGGGCCACCUCUCAUCUGAACAUCUUCACCCCCCCCCAAUAUUCCUUCUGAACCCUCCAUCCUCCUUCUCCCCUUCUCUUGGGACCAUAAACCUACCCCAAGAGUGAGUCCUAGCUCCAGGGCCAGCUCCCAAUCCUGCCUCUGUCUGGUGGCAGCUGGGGCCAGGCUGAAGGUCUGUCCUAGACUGAGCCAUAAAGGCAAAAAUAAUACUUACUCCUAAUAGAAGUAAAGCACUUCACCCUAGAUGAGCCCUGGUCCUGGUCACACACAGAACCUAGACCUUUAUUUAGAGAUGGACCAUUAAUUUGUCAUGUGGGCUAGGCAUGGUGGCUCAAACCUGUAAUCCCACUUUGGGAGGCCCAAGCAGGAGGAUCACUUGAGGCCAUGAGUUCGAGACCAGCCUAGGCAACAUAACAAGACCACGUCUCUACAAAAAGAUUUAAAAAUUAACCAGGUUUGGUGGCAUGUGCCUGUAGUCCCAGCUACUGCAGUGAACCAAGAUUGUGCCACUGCACUCCAGCCUGGGCAACGGAGCAAGAUCCUGUCACAAAAAAAAAUUAUCACGUGGCCGAAGUUAUUUCCAGGCUCCGAGCGCCAGCUUCCUCAUCUUUCCAACAGAGGGCCUUCACCUGGGCUAAGUGUUAAAUCAGAAAGCCCCUAUUCAGAGGUUGGCCUGCAGUUCCCUGACCUGGUAACACUGGGGAGCAUUGGCUGCUGUCACCUGCCAGCUCCCACCCCCACCCAACACUUACACACCAAGCAUCACUAAUUUUUGCAGCUGCCAUGAUAAAUGGCACUGUUGGCAAAAUGACAUCUUUCUAAUCUGCCACAAGACAGACGGGUCCCCGAGCUCCCACAGCCUCCCAAGAGCCAGCCCAGGCCAUCCUUGUUGAGAGGAUGGGCAGAUGCAAAGCCCAGGGCCUGGGGGCGGGUGGGAUGGAGAGGAGACCUCAGGGCCCAGAAUCAAGGACAUCCCUAGUGGGGUUUACCACAGGCUCUUUUCUAAAUAUUUAGUUGUAUGUGUGCUUUUAAAAAUAUUCCAAAGAAUAUUAUAUGCUCUGUUCCUUUCUGACCAAAGUUAGGGCUUCAAUUCAAUUUUCUUUUCUUUUCUUUCUUUUUUUUAGACAGGGUCUUGCUGUAUCGCCCAAGCUGGAGUGCAGUGGCACAAUCACAGCUCACUGCAGCCUUGACCUCCUGGGCUCAAGCGAUCCCCCCACCUCAGCCACCUGAGUAGCUGGGUCUAUAGGCGCCAGCUACCAUGCCUGGCUAAUCUUUGUAUUUUAUUUUGUAGACACGGGGUCUCGCCAUGUUGUCCAGGCUGGUCUUGAACUCUUGACCUCAAAUGAUCUGCUUGCCUUGCUCUCCCAAAAUGCUGGGAUUUCAGGCUUGGGCCACUGCACCCAGCCUCAAUUUUCACUUUAAAUUAAAACCUGGAUAUUGUUCAGGUUUAUAAGGAUGAACCAUUAGACACUGGUUCUGAGGCGGUGCUCUCUUCCUGUCACCCUCUGCUCUGCGGAACAGUCUGCCUCUGCCUGAGCCAUUAGGUCUGGGGGCUUUCUCACCCCCCUCCUCCCUCCCACUCCCUCCAUGGCUCCCACCCUCCCACCCAGCCUCUUUGCUGACCUCAGCCGCAUCCCCUCCAUGCCUCACACUGGCCUGGGACUGCCAGGUUCCUGUGUCCAGGAGUAGAGGUGAAUUGGGGCUCUGGAUGCCAAGAACAGAGGAAGGACAAAUGCCAGCCCCAGAGACCCUCACCUCCUCAAGACCAACAGGAGCUGGCGCCUGUCCGCCCAGCAGCAGCAAAGCCAGAGCGGGUGCCAGCCAGGGUGGGUAGGCACAGGCCUGGGCUUGAAGAUUGAGACAGCGCUGCCCCCUCCUGGCUAAUUCACGGCUGCUCCUCUGACAGGCACUGCCAGGCUAAGCUGUUGAGGUUGGGGACAUAGUGAGUGACCCCAAAAACAGCAUGUGACAAGCUGACCUUCCCUGCAGUCUGCCCAGCUGGGAGCUGCCUCCCACUCUGCCCAUCCUGUCCGAGCUUCUCCCAAAGCAUCUUCCGGCCCUCACACCUUCAGGGCAAAGCCCGAGGCCCCUCCCGGCUGCCCACAAUGUGGCCCCGGGUAGCAGCCUCGCCCCCUGCACCCCAGGCCCCUGCUGCUCUGUGCCUCCCCAGUUCCCUGUCACUGCACCUGCAUGCUUUGCUCUCACCUUGACCUCCACCUUCGCCCUCCCCAGCAGUCUCCUCUUGUCCUCUUAGGUCCCUCCCCGAGGAAACUCCUCUCCCAACUCCCAACCAGAGGGACUCCGCUCCUCUGCCUGCACCCCGACCUGCCCUGCCCCUGUCUCGGGGACUGCACACUGUCAGCACAGUCCCACAGUUCUGGAACUUGGGAGAACCUAGACCUCUUCCAAGCCUACCCUGUGCACUGUCUAAAGGGCAAUCCUGAGCCCAGAGAGGGGCAGGAGCUGCACAAGGCCACACAGCCUGUAAUGGCAGUUAGGACUGGAAUGCAGCUCUCCCGAGUCUCUGCCUGGGGCUCCUUGGAGGACAGACACAUGGCUUCCCCACCUGGUGAACCAGAAUGGAACUCUUCAAGGACAGGGACUGUAUCAUUCCUUCCAGUGUCCCCAGCCCCUCACCCAGAGCAGGACCCACAGGAAGCAACUGUGAACAGAAAAGGAAAAAACAAAUACAUGAAAAUGUAUCUCUAAUGUCUUCUGUGUGCCGGACACUCAGCAGGUACCGGCUCUGCUACUAGAAAUCUUGG